GACACAGCAGCACACAGAGCCUGAUACACCCCCAUCUCAAGUCAAACCUCUCACCCAUGCCCUGCCCUGGCCUCCACUUGUAUUUCCCUGCAAUUGAAAAACACUCCAAAUAUCUGUUUGUGUCUUUAGCCUUCCCAGCUUCAAGAACAGAGUCCUGACUGACCUCUGCCAUGAGCAGACAACUGCACCAACAUCCAACAGAGCUGAGGAAAUCCAUCUGGAGACCUGAGUCUUCUUCAACUGGUAACACUGGAAAAAAAUAACUUCCUUUUCAUUUCUUUUGCUCCUGGAGAAUGACAAGUUCAAAAAAGGUGAGCAAACAUGCAGCUGUAGGCAGUGGCAGGGAGACCAACGGGCUUAUUUUCCACACUGAGGGUUCGUUCCAUGAAUAAUUUCUCCACAGAGAAAAGGGACUUUAUUAAGAGCAAAUGGUAUGCAGAUUUUCUCCUGCUAACCUGACUUUUUUUUUUUUUUUGACACUGAUGGAUUGACAGACCAGCUGAGGCAAGCAGCACUGCUAAUUUCAGCGGUGAAAAGAUACAAAGCAGAGCCACCCAAUAAAAAGCAAGUGAAAUAACUUUAUGCAACUUCCCUCCACCCUCAAGAGGAAAAGAUGGGUUCAUUAUAUUACAACCACUUUUUUUCCCUAAUUAUUCUGUGUCAAUAUUCCUUUCUUCAAUGAUUUCUUCCCUUCUGCUAUGUACAUCUGAAAUAAGAUAUUCUUACCACUACUUAACUACGCCUA
Non-coding RNA from Taeniopygia guttata (zebra finch), 745 nucleotides. The record is from RefSeq and is a predicted model, not a curated record. NCBI's taxonomy places the organism in Eukaryota, Metazoa, Chordata, Aves, Passeriformes, Estrildidae.